Gigantopelta aegis is the source of this 3161-nucleotide RNA transcript. RefSeq lists it as uncharacterized. The record is from RefSeq and is a predicted model, not a curated record. The transcript has 10 exons. NCBI's taxonomy places the organism in Eukaryota, Metazoa, Mollusca, Gastropoda, Neomphalida, Peltospiridae.
CACACAAUAGAUACGGCGGUCAAUCGGCAAACUCCGGCAAUGGUAGAAGGCUGGCGAUCGCUAAUGGUGUACCUAGGAGUAAAUGUCAAAACGACGAUCGCGUAUUAAGACUUCCGUGGUGCUACCUGGAGCUGGGGUAGAACUUCCAUUGUUAGGAAAAAGAGAAGUGUACUUUUAUCUGGGUCACAUGACAAUUAAGGAUUUAUUUAUGGGCAGUUCUGUCAUGUUUGAUUUGCUGUGCUUUCGUUAAGUUUGGCUGACUCGUGUGCACCGAAUCCACUUUGGAAGCGAAAUACAGGUGACAAGUUUACAGGUAAAACGUCGCCAAAGCCAGCAGCCAUGAGUCUACGGUCCUCCAGACUGUACGGCGCCAUAGAGAGCGACAGCCUCGACGACAUUGUCAACGAGCUGAUAACGUUCUGCAGGUCCGGCAACGACAUCAACGUGCAGGACACGGUGUCGGGGGAGACGUACCUCCACCACAUCGUGCGCCACUACCGCCGCUUCUCCGACCCCAAGAACGUGUCUCUGCUCUACAUGGUUGGCUGUAAGCUCGACGUGGACGCCGUGGACGCUGACGGCGAGACGGCGCUACACAAGGUGGUCAGGAAGAACGGUGCAUACCGACUGAUGGUCGCCAUGCUCAGGUGUGGCGCGGACACGGAGGUGAAGAACAAGGACGGGAAGACGGCCGAGGACAUCCUGCUCACGGAGAAACCCAGCGGCUGGCAGGAGAUGCUACACUGGUAUCGGAAAUUUAAACCAGGUCUGUGGCGAGCCCUUAUGGCGGACAGCCCGGACAAGAAGCUCAUCGAGCGCCUGUUGAAGUCGUGGUGUCGCGUGGUCGUCUGCAAGAACAAGCAGAUCGUCAACCUGAAGGAGGUGGCGCACAACAGGGUGGGGCAGCUCGACAUCGUCUGUCUGAUGGAGAAAUACGAGAACACCAACGAGUUCGUCCUCUCGCUGCUCGCCGGAACCGGACGAUUCAUCAGUUACUGGAAGGAAAACGGUCUUGCCAUGAAUAAUAUUGACAUCAACACGCGCGACUACUCCUACCAAUACCGUUAUCCCGAUUACCCGGAAGUGCCUCAACCUCUCCUCGCUGCAUUGUGGGAGAAGGACAUCUUCGAAAUCGUUGACAUUUUGAUGGAGAUGAAACCCGACACGAGUGUUCUCUAUUCCAAUGAACCAGAGUCGAAAAGUCCGCCAAAGCCUUUGUUUUUCCAGGUCCUGUCGGGCCACCCGAAGCCGACGGACGAACGGAUCGUGAGACGGAUCAUACGCGGCUCCGACAUGCAGGCCAGAAACACGUACGGCGCCACCAUCCUCAUGGAGGCCAUCGUCUCCCAGCAGUCGGACGACUUCAUCCACUUCCUCUUCCAGUGCGGCGUGAACGUGGCGACGCGCGCGCGCUGUGGCCGGACAGCGCGCACGCUGUGCGACGAGGAGGCCGUGCAGGACGGCGCACGCUACACGCGCCUCAUCGACCAGCACGUGCUGGGCUUCGUCAGGGACUGCAACAUCGAGCGGCUCGAGCGACUCGUUCUGCAGUCGUACAACCACAUCCUCGACAUCGUCGACGAGCGCGGCCACACGGCGCUCCAGAUCGCCAGGAAGCUGGGAUCGAAACAGCUCAUCAGAAUCUUGCAGAACGUGGUGGCCACGCAGGACCAUGCCAAGAAAGUGUUUGCAGCCAUCGACAAAGGAAAUAUGACAUUACUGAAGAAAUUGCUGACAAAGAAAUACGCCCACGUAUUGGACAAAUGUGGCCGAACAACUGUUCACCAUGCCUGUCUCCAUCAGCACAGCAAAAUAGUGCGCUUUUUAUUGGAAGAUUCUCCGCAAAUGAUUAACAUGUCCGAUGGUAUGGGUAGGACUCCCCUUCAUUACGCAUAUCUGUUCUUAGAUCAGGACGACACCGUGGACUACCUGUUGAAGAAAGGAGCAAGCAACAUCUCUAAAGAUGUGAACGGUAGGACUCCCUCUGACUAUAGUCGAAAGAAUUGUGGGGCUCAUGAAUUUGCUUUGAGACAGAAACAAGUGCGGGAGUACGACUUGGAACUAUUUCUUGGACUAACAAAGUGUUUUAAUACAUUUCCUAAUGCAAUCAAGGUAACAGAGAAACACUUGUCAUCAAUUUUGAGACAAUGUUAAGUAUUAGACUAACAAAGUGUUUUAAUACAUUUCCUAAUUCAAUCAAGGUAACACGGAAACACUUGUCAUCGAUUUUGAGACAAUGUUAAGUAUUAUGUAGACUAACAAAGUGUUUUAAUACAUUUUCUAAUGCAAUCAAGGUAACAGAGAAACACUUGUCAUCAAUUUUGAGACAAUGUUAAGUAUUAGACUAACAAAGUGUUUUAAUACAUUUCCUAAUUCAAUCAAGGUAACACGGAAACACUUGUCAUCGAUUUUGAGACAAUGUUAAGUAUUAUGUAGACUAACAAAGUGUUUUAAUACAUUUUCUAAUGCAAUCAAGGUAACAGAGAAACACUUGUCAUCAAUUUUGAGACAAUGUUAAGUAUUAUGUAGACUAACAAAGUGUUUUAAUACAUUUUCUAAUGCAAUCAAGGUAACAGAGAAACACGUGUCAUCAAUUUUGAGACAAUGUUAAGUAUUAUAUAGACUAACAAAGUGUUUUAAUACAUUUCCUAAUGCAAUCAAGGUAACAGAGAAACACUUGUCAUCAAUUUUGAGACAAUGUUAAGUAUUAGACUAACAAAGUGUUUUAAUACAUUUCCUAAUUCAAUCAAGGUAACACGGAAACACUUGUCAUCGAUUUUGAGACAAUGUUAAGUAUUAUGUAGACUAACAAAGUGUUUUAAUACAUUUUCUAAUGCAAUCAAGGUAACAGAGAAACACUUGUCAUCAAUUUUGAGACAAUGUUAAGUAUUAUGUAGACUAACAAAGUGUUUUAAUACAUUUUCUAAUGCAAUCAAGGUAACAGAGAAACACGUGUCAUCAAUUUUGAGACAAUGUUAAGUAUUAUAUAGACUAACAAAGUGUUUUAAUACAUUUCCUAAUGCAAUCAAGGCGGGUGACUUGGCGACUGUAAAGAAUCUCACGGUGGGCCUCAAGGAGCACAAUGGUAUCGACAAGUUCAACAACGCUCUCUUCGACUGCAUCGACCACGGCCAUUUCAACAUCGCAGAGUUCCUCAUCCU